Molecule: long non-coding RNA, 675 nt
Organism: Plodia interpunctella (Indianmeal moth)
Lineage: Eukaryota; Metazoa; Arthropoda; Insecta; Lepidoptera; Pyralidae
Exons: 2
Source: RefSeq, a predicted model, not a curated record
AUUGCAAUUAUAUUACGAAAAAUUAUCUUGAUUUUACUUAAUUUUAGAUUCUGUAUGAUAAAAAAAAAUAUAUAAAUUAAACUGCCACUAACAAAUCAUUUAAAUAUUUGAUGUUGACAGUUUGUUUAGUUAUUGUUUAUUUUAUUCAGAAAUACAGAAUAAAUUACUUAAGUACAUCGUAGUUAAUCGAUUAAAAAUACAUUGUACAAAUAAAUUUAAAAUGUUGAAUUUAUUUAGCAUUCUUAUUCUACAGAUCAUUUUAUCUACUAUCAUCAAUGGCCAAGUGAUUCAACCAAAAAUGAUACAACUACAAAAGCAAUCUUUACAACAAUCACCACAAAAAAACCAAGUUAAUAUCAACUUGUCACAGUUCUCCCAUGCACCAAUAUCGUCCGAGAAAAUCGGCUCAAUAGUAGCUGCUUUACAGAAAAGCCGAAAUCAAUCAAACAUGGCGGCGAAACGUCAUAAGAAUCACUAUUUGGCCGACAUGUUGAGGGAAUCAGCCAUUCGAAGCCUAAUGGCGGCACAAGAGGCCAAUAGGGACGACAAAUUCAAAAAUGGAAUCACUAUUUCGAAAACUACAACUCGUGUGAUCGGCUGAAAUUAUUUAAAUUAGGAACACCAUUUUUUAUUUAUUUAAAUUAUUACACGCUUUAAUAAAUAUAUCGAACAUAA